CCUAAAAUAUCUAAACUAUCUUCUAAUCCCUAAACCACACCUUAAUUAACUAUAUCCUAAUUAACUAGACCACACCUAUCAACUACACUGUAAUCUAAUUGAUAUCACUUAUACACUACCGCACAAAUCCAGCAACAGGCUGAAGGAAACAAAAAACCGAAACAAAAAAAGAGAAAAGUGCUUAAUGGAUAAGUAGCAACACGUUUUCAACCACCACGACUCCGUUUCACCACGAACCUAGGUUCCAUCCCCGUUCUGCCGCGCCGGAGUUCUUUACCGACGGCAGCGGAACUCCUACAAACACGACCUCCACACGGCCAAACUCACUGCGAUUCCCUUAAUCCAAAUCCCCUGUUGAUCCAACCUAAUCUCUAUUCGAAAAUGCAAACCGAAGCAAAAGUUCUCACGAACCCUAGAUUGAAUAUUCCCAAAUCCGGUCCUCAUACGGAGGUAAUCGAGCUUGCAAGUUUGGGAGAAUCAUUCACUGGAUCCAUAUUUGCACAAUGAUAAUCAACGCGAGUAAAAUCGGUGGAGUUUCACAUACCUUCGUCGUUGACGGUGACGCACGCGGCGGACGGCGUUUGGAUACUGAUGCGGUACAAAACAAUCGCUUGUCUACUCUCCUAUUCUUCGUCUACUCCAAUCUUCCUCGCCGUUCCCUGGUACUUUGAAUCGUGGCGCUUACGUAUCUUGACUUGUAAUCGUGGAAGGCGCGGUUCGAUUGUUGGAUUCGAGAAGAUUCACUGAAGCAAGGGACACCAUGGAUUGAGGACGGAAUCAAGGUCCAGCAAGAACAGCCGAUGAAUUCGCCGGCAAAGAUGACCGAUGCAACGGCGAGGUUAGCGGAAGCUCGUCUCAGGGACUGAGGCGGAGUGGAUUCUAGCUCAACCGAUCAAAGCUUCAACGUGGAGCUUUGAUGGCUUUGUCUCAGAGCUUUGGUAAGGGUGGAAUGGUGGUGAAGAUGCGGAAUAGAAGAUGGAAACUGGAAGAAGCAGGUUGAGAGUGAUGAUUGAAGAGGAGUUCUUGGAGGGAUUCACGGUGGUUGAAGGUUUGUUACAGGUGGAAGAAGAAGCUGGAAAAGUUUGUUAGAGGUUGAAGGAUUGAGGGCAAACGAUUUUGGAAUGAGAGGGAAAAUUUUCUGAAAACCAAUGAUUGGCAAUGAUUGCAGCUUAUAUAGCAGGAUCUAAGGGGCAAAUUGGAGAAUAAAAUCUGAAAAUGGUUCAAUCUGCACCAUCCAGCUGGCACUUAAAUGAAGGACAUGAUCAUUGUCUCAGGGUCUGCACUGUAGUUCACCCUUGAAGCAUGACAUUUUUGAAUGCACUAGCUUCUGGUAUGUAUACAUUGGACCUGUUAUUUUGCUCUCAAGACUGAUCCAUUAGGCAGUACUAGUUUCUUCAGGAUUUUAAAAUCAUGAUUUCCUGGCUUAUCACUAACAUAUACUGCACAACCACCUAUUGCUCUUGCCGCAGCAUGAAACUCAGCUGUCACGUGCUUGCUAACCUUGACAUGAAGGUAUAAAUGUUGCUGUUAGGUGUUGGUGCUGUUGUAAACGCAGGUUGUUCAUGAUGCAUGUCCAUUCAAGGUUUAAUUCGUAGAAUAAAUUGCAACAAAGUGUUGCAAAAUUCUGCAAUACUUCAUGACAGGUUGGACAUGGUAAAUGAGAUACCCCCGCUGUUCGGUUCCAAGUCUACUCGUGGAACACUCCAUGAAUGAGCUCAACAUCAGGCCAUGUCGGUUUCUUGUAUCAUGGCCAUGGUCCAAUUCUAAUUCUUCCUUGUGAUUGAAUCGUGGUUCACUGUUUUGCUAGGUAUGAUGAUAGCUCGUUCAACAAGGUGACAACUGUUGGAUUCACCUGAUUCUGCAUACAGGAAACUUUGUCCAUUGAAGCACAUGGCUUGGUUCAUGAUCAGCAACAGGUGUAGGUGCGGUCAUGGGAAUCAUUUGUUCCUGACUUGGCCAAUGCUUCUUUUAUAGCAUAUGGUCAUGAGCUCUGCAGCACGUGUGGGCAUACUAACCUUGCUUGGUUAGUUUCAAGAGCAUGCCUCAUUUGGCUAGAGCAUCCACGUGAGGGAGUAUGGGUAAGGCAUGCAACACGGAUGACACCAAGUUUGGCCUUUUGGAGCAUUAAUGGCACAUGUCAACGACCAAGUAGGAAUUUUUAGAGCUUAGGAAUAGGAUUCAUGGGUAUUUAGGAUUUUAGGAGUUUAGGGAUUGGGUUGACUUUGGUCAGAGUUGACCAAAGUCAACAGUUGGUCAACACACUCAUUCUUUGUAUUUUUCCUGUAAUGAUCAUGUAAUGAAUGAAAUUUCUUCACUUGAAUGAAAUUGGAUUGGUAUUUGAACUGAA
This is a long non-coding RNA of Lathyrus oleraceus (garden pea), 2347 nucleotides long. RefSeq lists it as uncharacterized. The record is from RefSeq and is a predicted model, not a curated record. Lineage: Eukaryota; Viridiplantae; Streptophyta; Magnoliopsida; Fabales; Fabaceae. The transcript is spliced from 4 exons.